RNAcentral lists this ribosomal RNA (257 nucleotides) under uncultured bacterium. Its description in RNAcentral is "partial small subunit ribosomal RNA". It matches the Rfam family "Bacterial small subunit ribosomal RNA", at positions 26 to 285 of the family's 1533-position model. The record is from RNAcentral.
AGGACGAACGCUGGCGGCGUGCUUAACACAUGCAAGUCGAGCGAGGCCCUCUCUUCGGAGAGGUGCCCUAGCGGCGAACGGGUGAGUAACACGUGGGCAACCUGCCCCUAGCACUGGGAUAAGCCCGGGAAACCGGGUCUAAUACCGGAUAUGACCUUCAAGGGCAUCCUCGAAGGUGUAAAGGAUUCUGGCUAGGGAUGGGCCCGCGGCCUAUCAGCUUGUUGGUGGGUAACUGCCUACCAAGGCGACGACGGGUA